Molecule: unclassified non-coding RNA, 161 nt
Filed under: rhizosphere metagenome
Description: partial ribosomal RNA internal transcribed spacer region
Source: RNAcentral
GAAAUGUAAGGACGUUCUUUUUAGAGGUCCGACCCAAUUCAUUUCCUUCACACUGUGCACAAACUGUUUUUACACAUUUUAAACACUAUAAGAUAAGAAUGUAACUGUCUCUUGAUUGAGCAUAAACUAUUAAAACUUUCGGCAACGGAUCUCUUGGCUCC